GGUGAAUAUAGUUCAAUGGUAGAGCGACUGUAUGUGGCACAGUAAGUUCCCUGUUCGACCCAGGGUAUUCACCC
Molecule: transfer RNA, 74 nt
Filed under: Scopulariopsis brevicaulis (arsenic fungus)
Lineage: Eukaryota; Fungi; Ascomycota; Sordariomycetes; Microascales; Microascaceae
Description: tRNA-His
Rfam family: tRNA
About the family: Transfer RNA (tRNA) molecules are approximately 80 nucleotides in length. Their secondary structure includes four short double-helical elements and three loops (D, anti-codon, and T loops). Further hydrogen bonds mediate the characteristic L-shaped molecular structure. tRNAs have two regions of fundamental functional importance: the anti-codon, which is responsible for specific mRNA codon recognition, and the 3' end, to which the tRNAs corresponding amino acid is attached (by aminoacyl-tRNA synthetases). tRNAs cope with the degeneracy of the genetic code in two manners: having more than one tRNA (with a specific anti-codon) for a particular amino acid; and 'wobble' base-pairing, i.e. permitting non-standard base-pairing at the 3rd anti-codon position.
Source: RNAcentral